AUGCAUUAUUGCCAAACAGAAGUAGGACAGACACUGGCCGCCGCGACUGACGAGGAUCUCACGAUCGUGGUAUGUGAAGCCAUCGUGAUGGAUGCUGGUAUUGGGGACUGUUGGGAGGAUGGCCGUGUCCCUCGCAGGGUAGAGGGGACAACGCACCCUUGUUGGGUUCAUGGUGCGGUUCGGUUACAUCUCGAAGGUUGGGAGGAGGAGGAGGCCGUUCCAGCAAUCCAGGUCGAACCUGUCGGGGCCCAAGGAAUCCAGGUCGAAGCUAACGCGGCGGACGACGUCGGCGAGCUCAGGGGGCUGGGGCAGCGCCACGAACCGAGGGGGGUGGGUGCAUGUGGUGACGACGUAGAAGCCGAGCAGGCUGGGCGGGUGGAGGCCGCGGAAGCGGCGGAGGAAGGCCGGCGCGGCGGCGUGGAGGAGCCAGCGCUUGCAGACGAGCGCGGCGCGGACGAGGCUGGUGGGGAAGGCGAGGCGGAGGAGGAUCUCACCGAGGAGGUCGUCGUCGUCGAGCACGGCCGAGAUGACGGCUGCGGCGGCCGCCGGCGCUCUCUUCGCUUCCAUCUCCGCUCUGGAUCUGGUUUGGGGAUUGAGGAUUUCAGAGAAGGGUCGCCACGGCACUCACCGGAGCAGAAUUUGGGGUAA
This 648-nucleotide ribosomal RNA is filed under the name Triticum aestivum (bread wheat). Its description in RNAcentral is "partial small subunit ribosomal RNA". The record is from RNAcentral. Lineage: Eukaryota; Viridiplantae; Streptophyta; Magnoliopsida; Poales; Poaceae.